UACGAAGGGUGCAAGCGUUGCUCGGAAUUAUUGGGCGUAAAGGGUUGGUAGGUGGUCUUGUUUGUCUGAUGUGAAAUCCCAGGGCUUAACCCUGGAAGUGCAUCAGAAACGGCAAGACUAGAGUUCUAGAGGGGUUUGUGGAAUUCCCGGUGUAGCGGUGAAAUGCGUAGAGAUCGGGAGGAACACCAGCGGCGAAGGCGGCAAACUGGAUAGAUACUGACACUCAACAACGAAAGCGUGGGGAGCAAACAGG
This 253-nucleotide ribosomal RNA is filed under the name uncultured bacterium. RNAcentral's name for it is "partial 16S ribosomal RNA". It matches the Rfam family "Bacterial small subunit ribosomal RNA", at positions 524 to 776 of the family's 1533-position model. The record is from RNAcentral.